RNAcentral lists this ribosomal RNA (441 nucleotides) under uncultured Bacteroidota bacterium. RNAcentral describes it as "bacterial SSU rRNA". It matches the Rfam family "Bacterial small subunit ribosomal RNA", at positions 917 to 1359 of the family's 1533-position model. Lineage: Bacteria; Pseudomonadati; Bacteroidota. The record is from RNAcentral.
GGGCCCGCACAAGCGGAGGAACAUGUGGUUUAAUUCGAUGAUACGCGAGGAACCUUACCCGGGAUUGAAAUGUACCUGACGAUCCGUGAGAGCGGAUUUCCAGCAAUGGCAGGUAUGUAGGUGCUGCAUGGUUGUCGUCAGCUCGUGCCGUGAGGUGUCGGCUUAAGUGCCAUAACGAGCGCAACCCUGAUUGUCAGUUGCUAGCAAGUAAAGUUGAGGACUCUGACGAGACUGCCGGCGUAAGCUGUGAGGAAGGUUGGGAUGACGUCAAAUCAGCACGGCCCUUACAUCCGGGGCGACACACGUGUUACAAUGGUGGGACAAAGGGCAGCUACCUGGCGACAGGAUGCUAAUCUACAAAGCCGUUCCCAGUUCGGAUUGGAGUCUGCAACUCGACUCCAUGAAGCCGGAUUCGCUAGUAAUCGCGCAUCAGCCAUGGCG